CAUCAAGGAUGCUAGUUACUCUUAUUAUUGUCAUUUUUCUUUGUAUGAAUAUAUUUUUGAGGUCAUUGGUGGGAAGACUCUCUUCAAACAUGAGUUAUUAAUACACUAGAAGUUCCAAUCCACUUUUAAUUUUUGGUUAAAUUGGAGAAAUAUUUGUUUCUUUGCAAGUUCAGUGGUUGGUGCAGGUGCUUUGUUGCUCCCAUUACAAACAUUGCGUGAUCCCUCCUCAUAGUCACGUCUUAUAUUCUCGAUCAUUCAAGUCCUACAACAUACAUUGUUGAGAUGGUUUAAAAUAGAUAGUAUCACCUUCCUUUUAUCAUUGCACGCUAUUAAUAUUUAUAUCUGCAUUAGCUUUAAUGAAAGGCGACUAUAAAAAUAAGGUUUGGAAGACAGCACUGCAAAUAGUUGCCAGCAUGAAGCGAGACUGGAUGCAGGUUUGCUAUCAUUCUUUCAUGUAGUUAACAUAUACUUCUUUGUUGUGCGUUGGCUAUUGUAUGAGGUGUUGAUGAAUUAUCAAUUUGGUUUACAUCCUUUACAGACAGGCAGAAAACCAAGUGGGAUAUGCGGUGCUGCAUUGUACAUCUCUGCACUUUCACAUGGGUGUAGUUACUCAAAGUCAGAAAUUGUAAGUGACAUUGUGUUGCCAUUUCUAAAUAUUUCUUUACCAGAUAUAACCAAACACUCUUAUAUUCUUACUGGAGCUCACUUGAGUGACAAUAUCACAAAUGAUAAUUGAAGAGAUUGUUGUGAAGUAAUAUGCUAUUCCUCCAUCCCUAUUGUUUUAAAUUUUUUCAUUUGAUAAGAUUUCUGGUAAUGGAUGUCCUGCAAACUACAAACUGAAGAAGUUAAUUUGUCAGUGUGUUAGCAUUGUUGCACAAUUGUUUCAAGUUUAUUGCUGUUCAUGUGUUAAAUAGUGAUGUUUCUGGAACAUGGUAAUAAGUUGUAAAGAAGCUUAUACAGUUCCUUGGUGUAGACUCUGUCAGUAGGUUCGCUCUUAUUUCACCCCCCACCCCCGGCAAACACCGGCAACCCUCUCAUUUUUGCCUGCUAUAGUUGGAUUUUGUCUAUCAUGCCUCAUAGAUGCAUUCUGUACUCUAUCCUCAUAACUUUCUUUUAUAUCUAAAAUGAUGCAAUUUGAAGGAAAGUUAUUUAGUGCUAAAAAUAGAGAUUCUUGCUCCAGAUUCUUCUAUUAAUGUUCAAAUCUAACUGAUUUUUAAGGUAAAGCUGACUGAAUUCUUGCUUAAAAAAGUAACUAUAAAAGUGAUUGAGAUUCACAUGUAUUUGCAUGAAUUUCUAACUUAUUCACCCUUCCACUGUUUUUAGGUGAAAAUUGUUCAUAUAUGUGAAGCAACACUGACCAAAAGGUUGGUUGAGUUUGAGAAUACAAAAUCUGGAAGCUUAACAGUAAGUUCCUGCUCUUCCAAGCAUGAUCUGCUAGCAUCGAACCGUGUAGCUUAUGUAACAACAGUAGGUUUCUUGUGACAUAGCAGUUCAUUUACAUAGUUGCAUUGAGAUGGAUCAUUCUGUACUACUGCCACAUCCAGAAAGUGUCUUAAGCAAAGGCAUCAGGGAUAAUAUAUUUACUGAUCUUCUGUGACAGGCUCUUUUUGUUUCUUUGUUUUUUUUCAUUCCUUUUUCCCUUCUCAUGUCAACAGUUAGCCCUUUACUUAUUCAGGUGGAAAUUAGAAGUUGCUAUUAUCCAAGAAUACAUUAUUGCCUUGUUAAAGUUGUACUGGUAUAAUUUGGAAAUACUACAUGAGCAAGCAUGAAGUUCCAGGAUCUCACUUUGGUCUAAACCUCUUAUGCUAUUAGAUUAGCACUUAAAAGUGGUUUCAUUAAAGAAAUGUAAGCAUUGCCUAUUGUCUUUCUGAAGGUUUACAGUCACAGGCUACAAUGGUUUAGUGUCGUCAUUUGAGUAUAUGAGAUAAUAUAUGUGGUUAAUCAUUUGGGAUCUCUUCUAGGUUUGUUCUGAUUAGGACGUAUGGUUUUAUGGUCUUUGAUUUUAAUUUAGCAAUGAGUUUUAGUUAAGCAUGUGCAAAAUGGUAUCGGCCCUUGAAAUGAUGGUUCUUUUUGUUGCAAAACUUGGUGCAAGGGAGCUAUAAAAGAGAUGCAAGGGAGCUAUAAUAGCAUAAUUUCUAUUUUUGGUCAACUUGCUAACCCCUGCAGUCAUGGGAAUCGUGUGUAUAAACUGAGAUAUGUGUUUUUAAAUGGUUCUUGCUUUAUCCCAAUCAUGAUUUAUAAUUACAGUUUUAAGACCAAUCAAGACUAUCUUAUUCUUCACUUGCUUCCCUGUGCAACUUAUUUGGAGUGUUUCUUUAUCAAUCGAUCUUUUUUAAUGACCUUGAUGUUGGAAACUGUACUUCUAUUUGGAUGAUGACAAAGAUAUGAAUAAAAUAUGGGCUGUUAAGGAUGUUUUGGAAAAAAUCAAGUCAAAAGGACAUAUUUGUUAUGUGCUACGAGAAUAGUAAUGGUCGGAACAGUUGUUAUUUCAAAAGGGCGAAAGGAAUAAUAAAAGGGUUAAGGUGCUUUUCUCAUUGACAGGGAAGUGGCAGCAACUGCAAGAGUAAGAUUCUAGGGCAUGUCUUAUUUUUUCUUCCCUUUUCUUUUUUCCUACUUCUUCAACUGCCUUGCUUAUCAUCUCUUAUCAACAUAAAAGGAUAGACACUGUCAAUAAAAGGCAUUAGCCAUAAGGCAGUUGCAUGCUGUUGCUUGUGGUUACGAAGGUCUGAAGCAAAAAUAAUGGAUUUUGUCCUCAAUCCUUGUUUCUAUAACCUUUGUGCAAUUAAAAGCCACUUUUAAAAUCUUGGUACCAUGAGACUCCUGGAGUCGUAGAGAUUGUUCACUAUAUAAAGCAGAGUGACUUGUUUCUCUUGAGGCUAAUAUAGAGGACUGUCUAAGAUAGGCUAACUAUGGAAAUUUGUGGAGUGAUGUUUUGGUCGUCUUUCCCUUUUAGUUUUGGAAUAGUGGAUGUUGUUUGUCAUUUAUAUUGGAGGUUUCUGAAAGAGAUAUUUGUGAGGUCUGAAAUAUGCAUGGGAGAUGGUGGAGAGCUGGUGGCAUUAAAAGGACCUAAAACGGAGUUAGUCAUAGCCCAUGUUGAGCAUAGGUUUAAUCUUUUUUGGGUUUAUUACUUUUGGAUUUUGUCAUGUUUGGCUGUUGCUUGAAGUUAGUUAAGAUUGAUGUUAAGAAAUUAUUGGAUUGACUUGCAAAAAUUCUCAUGAUAUAAAAAUGGAAUUUGUCUUUACUGAUGGAGGAUUAUGUAAAAGAGGAAAAAUUUUUUCACUCUCCUUUUCUUUGCCUCUUGUCUCUAGAAUUUCCAUUUGUGAUCAGUUUUCUUAAUAUGUCUUGAGGCUCAUACUUCCUCAACACAAUCUCUUUUCAGAUUGAGGAAUUCAAUCAGAAUGCGGAAGAGUUUGAAAAGGAGAAUCAUUCAUCCACAUCACCAGAUAUAUACCUGCAGGAGUCUGGCAAAAAGGAAGUGCUUUGCCAACACAAAGGAAAAGAACCUCAUUUUGCUCAUGGGCUUUGCAGAAGCUGCUAUAAAGAUGUGAGUUCUAUGCCUUUUUCCUUCCCUUCCCGUAACUUUUAUUUUGGAUGUGAUUUAUGCUCCUCUCAUAUGUUCCAGUUCAUUGAACUCUCUGGUGGACUUGAUGAAGGAUGUGAACCUCCAGCGUUCCAGGUUGCUGAAAGGGAUAGAUUAGCCCGAGCAUCUGCUGAGAAGGUUGGGAAUCAAAAAUUCUUGUGACCAUUGGUGGUGAUAUGAUAAGUGCUAUAAUAAAAUGUGACUAUGUAGUAAACGAUUAGAGACACCAUCUGAAUGAUGUGCAGUGUCUGAAAUGAAUCUAUUUAUACAUGAAACAUGCACUCAAAACUAUAUGAUAAAUUUAAUAGCUUAAGUAACAACUUUGAGCUAUCUUGUUAAGUGUGUCCCUGAUAAUGAAUAAAUUUUCUCCCUUGGCACGUUAAAGGCCAUGAAAUCACUUAAAGAGUAAAUAUCAACUGUGGAAGUUUUUUGGAACUUCUCAUUUCUUGACUAAUUUUUCAGUUGAGGUUGUCAUCAAUUAAUAAAUGCAUAAGUAAACAAUGACUUGCCUCUGUAUAAUCUUAGAGCUUUUAGAUAAGGUUGUCAUUUGUAUUGUACAAGCUCAAAUUUUAGUAUGAGAUUGUAAUUUAACAUUGUAGAAAACAAGCAAAGGCCUCUGACAGGGCAAUUUAACCUGCACAUGAGAAGAUAAGAUUUCAAAUUAUACUGUUGAUUUAUUUUUUAAGGAUUAUUUAGCUAAUUGGAGGGUUUGCAGCUUCAGUUAAUGCCAAAAUUGAGCUGAUGAAACUUUGUUGUUGACAUAACCAAGCACUCGAGAAUAUUUCUAUGGAAGAAAAAGUUUAAUAUGCAUAUAUCCUUUCCAUAUGCAUGAGUACUUAAUUUGAAUUUUUUUUUUUUUUUUAAUUUUGGUACUCUGACCUUAUAGAAGUUAUUUUUGUAGGAAGGAAGCACUGAUCAGGCAAAUCAAGAUAGUUGUAACCAUGAGAAAGAAGCGGUGCCAGUGUCAGCAAGUGCUUGUAAGUGUCUGAUGGUAUUGGUUUGAAAUUCUCUCCCACCUGGCAGGCCUAUGUUGUUCUUACCUCUGACUUUUGUCCUUAUUCCGGCAGCUGCCCCUCAGAAUCUGGACAAAAGUUGUGAUGACACAUUUCGCAAAGAUGACGAUAUUCCAUCUGUCACAGUUGAGACAGAUAACCUUUCUGAUAUUGAUGAUGUAGAGGUGAGUAAAUCAGUCAGAAAGGUGUGCGCAUAACCCAUUGUCUAUGCCUAUGGUUUUCCUUAAGGGAAUAGUUUGUUCUAGUUCAAGCAUGAUACAGUAUUGGCCUGACCUUGGCACCAUUGCAUAGUUCAAAUAUACCUCAUUCAUUUCGUGUGCACUCCUUUUGUUUCAUUAUUAUUUCUUUAAUGAUGCUCUCUGUUGUUCUUCCAUGGGCAUAUUUUUGUGUAAAUUUAGGUAUGACUCAGAUGGCUGAAUUCGCUCAUUUAUUGAGGGGGACAAAUUACGGAUAAUGUAAUAAUCAAAGUUUUUGUUUCACACACUCAUGAUUUUGUAUUGCAGGUCAAUUCCUACCUUAAUAGUAAGGAAGAAAGCCACUAUAAGAAGAUUAUCUGGGAACAAAUGAAUAAGGAAUACGUUAAGGUGAAUAAGAUUUUCUGACAUUGGUAACUUUCAUCCAUGAUUUGCUGAAGCAGUUCGAGAACAAGCUGUGAAAUUAUUGAUGAGAAAAGAGUGUUAACUGCUAAAUGUUUUCAGGAACAAGCAGCUAAGGAAGUGGCUGCUGCUUUACGAGAUUGUGGUGAAGUUACAGAUGAUGUCCUUGCAGCACGGAAACUUGCAGCUGCAGCUGCUGCUGCUGUGGCAAAAUCAAGAGAUGUAAGUUGCUAUGUACGUAGUUGGUAUUUUCGAAACAUUAUCCUGGACAUAUUUAUCCCAAUCAAUUGGAACUUCUCUGGUGAUAGAAUGUCUGUGAAGCUUCUGUCUUGAUUUUUUUUCUCUCUCUAACUGCACCACCCCUCCCCCCUGGGGGCAACCAAGAGAGGGAGAAUAUAGUUCCAGGUUUUGACAGCAAUGGAUUACAAGCUAUGAAGUGGUGGAAAAUGUGCUAUAGAUCCUAUCAAAGUAGAGUUUGUUUAAGAAGCAUACAUAUCAUACAUGGAGAUAUCCAUUUUCAAGUGGACUUGAGUUUAUGUUACCUUUCAUCAACAAAUGUGUUCUUCUUUCGGAGAAGAAACAAACUCGAUCUUGUUUUGGUACUAGGAUAUCCUUGACUCUGACAUAUGUUGCACUGUAACUGGCUAUUUGUCAAAUUCUCAAUUACCUUAAAAUGCUUAGCAAAUAUUUUCAAAUGAAUGACAAUUGAAAAGUGAUUAAUUAAGGUAUUUGCAAUAUAAUAUUUGUGGUGGUUCUUGAUUAGUGAACUUACUACUGCUGCACCUUAUGGACUCCCAGCAACGAAAACUGAAGAGAGCUGAAUCUAAAAAUGCUGGCCCAGCUCCAACUGCUGCUGAAGCAACCCGUCAGAUGCUGAUGAAAAAGGUAUGCCACACGAGACCUUAUGGGAUUAGUUUAUGAAAGAUUAUAUAGCAGCAGACUCUUCUUGUUCUUUUCUUAUCCAAAAACUGUGAAAUAGGAUUAAGUUCUACUCAUAUUUUUUCUUUAUCACACUUCUUCAAGUUUUUCGGUUUUCUAUGUUUUGCAGGGGUUAAGUUCGAAAAUUAAUUAUGACGUUCUGGAGAAACUAUUUGAUGAGAGUGUAUGUCAAUCUAUAUGACUUAAUUCCUUUUACUAGCUUUCUUCUGGAAUAUAUCCCGUUGAUUGAUAGUCCUUAUCAUUUCAGUUAAUUUUAGCCAUCAAGACUAGCCUUUCACUUCCACUAUAUUUGGACAAGAUGCAAGUUACAUUGUGGCAGGAAAUGAUACUUCAUUCAACAAAAUUGAUUUCACAUGCCAGAACUAUAUGUGGUGGCCAUCUGUUUUUGAUUAACAUGAAAGCGAUAAUGCUUAACGAAGUUUUUGAUCCAUAACAACUAGUCUAAGAUAAAAGAAACGGUUAUUUUCCAGAACAUUUAAAAGGCUUUAACUUACAUAUAAGCAUAAUAUUUGUGUAUAAUGUAUAAUGAGAGCACAAAGUUACCUGAAUCAGAAAAUAAUCAUUUGUGGGGAAGAAAGAAGUCUGAUAUUCUAUUUUCUCCUCUUUUAGAAAUUCAAAGUUGGUUUUCUUCACCAAACAUUGUUGCUUAGGAGCAAAAUGUCAAGUUUCUGAUAGGAUCAUCUUAAAGUUUAGUGCAGAACAUGGGGAAAGAAUGGAGAUAAGGCUGUUUGGAUUGAAGUUGGACUGCUUAGCAGAUGUAGGAUAACUUAUAUGUAAUGUGGUUUUUGACAUCUAAUCGGUGCUCCUUUGUUUGAAAUAAUGAAAGAUCCAUUGUGUUAAGCUCUGUACUUUUUUUUCACUUGAUUAAGCUUUUUCUGUUAGAAAAGGUUUGGGCUCUGUAGAGUGGAUAGUCCAUUUUCGCUUCCCAGAUUUUGAAGACUAGUUAUAAAUCUUGCUUUCAUGCUUUCUCCGUUCCUGAAUGUGUGUUCUUUAAUGCGCUUUAAUUACAUCCUCUAGCAACUGUGGUAUUUUUAGUCCAUGAAAGAUUGCGCUACUCCAACAAUAAUUAUAAUUCAAAAACAUAAUAACAUUUCUUGAGUUCAAUCUUGUGGAUCAGUAUUGAGUCAAGUUUGAGCUUUAGGAAACGGGUUCACUUUGAAUUCGACCUAUGCCGAGUCUAGUUGAGCUACGUCGAACAAUCUCAAAACGAACCAACUGCAGUCGCAGGGCUGGAUAAUCUUUUUUCUGAUUAGGUAUUAGAUUCAGUUCUUCUCCUGUUCUAUUUGGUUUGGAAGGUUUGAUAUAUCAGCUUUGGUAAGGAGAAUGUAGUUUACUUCAUUACUGAUUUCGUUCAAAAUGUGUUUCUUUUGCCAGCCUUCGGUCCAAUUAUGGCUAGUGUUUCUUUGCUUGAUCUUAUAUUUUUAAGUUUGUAUUUAGUUCUCCUAGUGACUUGUACAAGAGUUUAUGUCUGUGCAGUCGCCUCCAAGCACCAAAAAGCCUCGUAUGGAACCUCCCCGCAAUGACCACAAUGCCUCUGGAAAAUAUGCAAACAAGAAGGAUAAUGAAGCAGAAUGAACAAUGUUAAUAAGCAGGAGCUGAACGAGGAUUAU
Molecule: long non-coding RNA, 7738 nt
Filed under: Coffea arabica (coffee)
Lineage: Eukaryota; Viridiplantae; Streptophyta; Magnoliopsida; Gentianales; Rubiaceae
Description: long non-coding RNA (CARA_LNC000988)
Source: RNAcentral